This 398-nucleotide ribosomal RNA is filed under the name Perisphaerus sp. 2 ZW-2018. Its description in RNAcentral is "partial 12S ribosomal RNA". The record is from RNAcentral. Lineage: Eukaryota; Metazoa; Arthropoda; Insecta; Blattodea; Blaberidae.
UAUUAUUAUGAUUUUAAAAUUAUUAUACUUAGGUAGUAAUAGUUAGGAUCUUGAAACUUAAAGAAUUUGGCGGUAUUUUAGUCUAUUUAGAGGAAUUUGUCCCGUUAUCGAUAACCCACGUUGAACCUAACUUUAAUUUAAGAAUAUGUAUAUCGCCGUUUAGAAGAUCUUUUUAGGGUUGUAUUUUCUUAAUAUUUAUUAAAUUGUAUUUCAGGUCAAGGUGCAGUUAAUAUUAAAGUGGAGAUGAAUUACAAUAUUUUAAUAUAUUAUGAAUUAUAAAUUGGAAAUAUAUUUAUAUGAAGGUGGAUUUAAUAGUAAUUUUAUAAAGAUUAUUAAUAUGAUUAUUAUUUAGCUCUAAAAUAUGUACAUAUUGCCCGUCACUCUCGUCUUAAGAUGAG